GAUCAUCUACACAAAAAGGAAAGGAAAAACUCUGAAGCCCUUGCCUCGAUUAAGAAACCCAAAUCAAUUGAAACCUUAAUGCAAAACCCAUUAUCGAUCUAGGAAUGUCUCUCUCUCUCUUUUAGAUCGUUCAGGUGAGGCACGACUUUUGAGUUCCAAUUUCCAUGACACUCAACUCAACUCGUGAAGCAGAAACAAAAAAAGAGAAGAAUUUUGUUGCUUUCGUGUCCUCACUUGAUUCCGGGAUUUCGCAAAUUUGGGAUUUUU
This 267-nucleotide long non-coding RNA is filed under the name Theobroma cacao (cacao). Its description in RNAcentral is "long non-coding RNA (TCAC_LNC002180)". Lineage: Eukaryota; Viridiplantae; Streptophyta; Magnoliopsida; Malvales; Malvaceae. The record is from RNAcentral.